RNAcentral lists this ribosomal RNA (253 nucleotides) under uncultured bacterium. Its description in RNAcentral is "partial 16S ribosomal RNA". It matches the Rfam family "Bacterial small subunit ribosomal RNA", at positions 524 to 776 of the family's 1533-position model. The record is from RNAcentral.
UACAGAGGGGGCAAGCGUUGUUCGGAAUUACUGGGCGUAAAGGGCGCGUAGGCGGCCUGCUAAGUCGAACGUGAAAUCCCUGGGCUCAACCCAGGAACUGCGUCCGAUACUGGUUGGCUUGAAUCCGGGAGAGGGAUGUGGAAUUCCAGGUGUAGCGGUGAAAUGCGUAGAUAUCUGGAGGAAUACCGGUGGCGAAGGCGGCAUCCUGGACCAUUACUGACGCUGAGGCGCGAAAGCUAGGGGAGCAAACGGG